UUGACAUGUAAACAAGCUUGUUUUAAAUAAAAUAAUCACCAAAAAUGUCUCUGGCUGUCUUUGAACCACUAUGGCAACUAGGUCAUGAAUCUGCUUUCCACCACUUGCCUGCUUAGUGUCACAGUGAUACUCAUUGCUCCUGCCUCCAUAGUUUGCUGUCUCUGUCCUUAGAGUGGGUAGCCCAGCCUAUUUAGUGAGGUUCACUUAGACUGUGUAUCUGUGUCUGUGCCUCUGUCUCUCAUGCAUCUAUCCAUGAUGUCUGUAUAAUUCCAGUGAGUCACUUAGCCCUAAAACUCACAGCUACUGCGUUUCCUGAGUCUACACUGAGAAUUCAGACCCUUCUAGAAGCAACAAUGAUUGCAUCAAUGGAACAAGCAGAAAUUCUAGAUGGCUGCAUAUAGCACAUGGCUGCAUCCCCAUCGCAUUACAUCAUAUUACAUGCACACACUACAUUGCCAAUUAAUCAAUGUGUUUCUUUGUGUUGAGGUAUUCUGACAGGCAGUCCUCUCAAAACGUCAAACAGGAAGUGAAGUAAUUACAUCUGUUUUCUAUCUUUUAACUGUCCUAAAAUAAAUAAAUAAAUGUAAGGAAUUUUAGCCUAGAAAUUUAGAAGCAGGGUUCUAACCUCCCCACUCCACUGCCUCCCUUCCCUUCAUCUUCCCAUAGUCCACCAGGCAGAAAAGUUAAGUCUUCUCAAACAACCCUGCUAGCUGUACUUCCCCAAUCUCAUGCUCAACAACCUCCUUGCAGCUCUGAACCGCAAUACUUACCUGGUUUAGGAGGGCAAUCCAAGGCCUCAGAAGAAGACACAGUUCUGGGUUCCUCGGAAAUGCAAAUAACAGAAUGAAGAUCCAUUAGUUAACUUCCUAAAAUUAAUAUCCAGGCAUUUUUCUUGAAAACCAUAUCUUUCUAUAUGCUUUUCAGAACAGGUAUAGAUUGGAUUUCUUCCAUUCUGAGGCAGCACUGAAAGCCUUAAACAACCUUGCAACUUUCCUUGGAUGUUGCCUCAUCCAUGAGCUGGGAGUUUGAUGCUGUGAUUGGGUGGAGAUAUAACUGAAGCAGGAACCUGUGUCCAUUGCCUGAACUUUGAAAAAUACAACAGACCUGCUGAUCUUCUCCAGUCUAAAGGAAGUUUUGAUUCUUCCCAGCCAUCCACACUUACAUAUGCAUGCUGCACCUUACUUUGGAGAAUAUGAAAAGCUUAAACAACAUCCAUCAGGUCCUACUGAAUAUGCUCUGCAAUAGAGAGUGAGUAUUCCAAUUUCACACAUUACAAUGUUGGAAAUGACUGAGAAAGAAAAAUCAUUAAGGCCAGAAUCUAAGCAACAAAUGCCACAAGCUGCAUCAAAGGCGUCAGGAAGAAGAGUCAGUUUAUUCCCACUGUACACCGUGGAUACAAAGACAAGACAUAGGAUCACCUGCAAACCUGAUUUAAAAACUUCAUAAUUCAGUUUCCUCUGGAUAUGUAGGCUCUAACAUGAUAAAUAAAAGACCCAGAGACUGGUAUUGGGGUUCAAGCUUCAAGCUGAAGACCAGAAAAGCAAAUCAGCCGGCCACUAGCUCUUACCUCAAGCUCAGGCUGAAAGGCGAUGCUGGUUCCACCAAACCUCAGACUGAAAUCCCAGACUGCUAUGAUCUCCUCAAUGUGGCUGGAGGAUCUAUGCCUUACUAUCUUCAGUGUAUCUGGAGAAUGAAUGCCAGCUCUGAGACCCUGCUCCUGCCUUAGACACCUUUCCACGAAUACUGGGAUUAAAGGCCUGUGAUCCCAAGUGCUGAGAUCAUCUUUGUGUGAGCUGUUUCUCUUUAGGACUGCAUCAAUUUCAUAUAGCUUAGUGUGGUCUUAAACUAACGGAGAUCCAUCUACCUUUUCAUCCUGAGUCCUGGGAUUAAAGUUCUGUACCACUACCUGA
Non-coding RNA from Cricetulus griseus (Chinese hamster), 1910 nucleotides. Lineage: Eukaryota; Metazoa; Chordata; Mammalia; Rodentia; Cricetidae. The record is from RefSeq and is a predicted model, not a curated record.